UUUUGUAUGAGACGCAUUUCGA
This 22-nucleotide microRNA is filed under the name Caenorhabditis elegans. RNAcentral's name for it is "cel-lsy-6-3p". Its record names the gene cel-lsy-6-3p. The record is from miRBase by way of RNAcentral. Lineage: Eukaryota; Metazoa; Nematoda; Chromadorea; Rhabditida; Rhabditidae.